UAAGCGGAGGAAAAGAAACUAACAAGGAUUCCCCUAGUAGCGGCGAGCGAAGAGGGAAAAGCCCAGCACCGAACCUCGCGCUCUCGGGCGUCGCGGAAUGUGGUGUUUAGGAGGACCGUGCGCGUCUGUCCGGUAUCGUCCAAGUCUCCAUGAAUGGGGCCAGCAACCCAGAGAGGGUGUCAGGCCCGUGGGACGAGCCGCGACGGCGUAUUGGGUCUCUCCUUAGAGUCGGGUUGCUUGAGAGUGCAGCCCUAAGCGGGAGGUAAACUCCUUCUAAGGCUAAAUACGGCCACGAGACCGAUAGCGAACAAGUACCGCGAGGGAAAGUUGAAAAGAACUUUGAAGAGAGAGUUCAAUAGUGCGUGAAACCGUUCAGGGGGUUAAACGGGUGGGCCCUCGAAGGUCGAACGGUCCCCAUUCCAGUCAUUCGCAGGCCGGUCCGCGUCGUUAUCCGAUCUCGCUACGGGACGGUGCGGCGCGGGUCGCCGGUCUACGAGGGCCGCAAGUUGGGGACCCAGUAGGACUCCGCAACCGUCUGGGAGGCCGUCAGAAGGGUUCCGGUAGGAAGCCCCCUCGGGGGUGGACUCUGGGAUUUCCGGGCGGUCCUCCCGGCCGUAAACCUGCAUUCUCUCGAACGGUGCGUGGGACGAGCCUCGGUUCGCAAGGGCCGGGGUUGUCGGUUUCACAGCCGCCGGGAGACGCGGCGGAGAGUAGAGUCGGGUCCCACCCGACCCGUCUUGAAACACGGACCAAGGAGUCUAACAUGUGCGCGAGUCGUCGGGUUUGACUAAACCCGAAGGCGCAAUGAAAGUGAAGACCGUCCUCGUUGGCGUGUCUAGGGGAGAUCCCGUCCUGCUCCGGUAGCUCGGGCGCAUCCCCGGGGCGUCGAAGCCGCGUUGCCGGCCAGACGCACCAAGASCGUACACGUUGGGACCCGAAAGAUGGUGACCUAUGCCUGGCCAGGACGAAGCCAGGGGAAACCCUGGUGGAGGUCCGCAGCGAUUCUGACGUGCAAAUCGAUCGUCGGAGUUGGGUAUAGGGGCGAAA
RNAcentral lists this ribosomal RNA (1047 nucleotides) under Eocyzicus sp. WRH-2009. Its description in RNAcentral is "eukaryotic LSU rRNA". It matches the Rfam family "Eukaryotic large subunit ribosomal RNA", at positions 47 to 928 of the family's 3401-position model. Lineage: Eukaryota; Metazoa; Arthropoda; Branchiopoda; Diplostraca; Eocyzicidae. The record is from RNAcentral.